RNAcentral lists this ribosomal RNA (901 nucleotides) under uncultured archaeon. RNAcentral's name for it is "bacterial SSU rRNA". It matches the Rfam family "Archaeal small subunit ribosomal RNA", at positions 1 to 906 of the family's 1478-position model. The record is from RNAcentral.
UUCCGGUUGAUCCUGCCGGAGGCCAUUGCUAUUGGAGUCCGAUUUAGCCAUGCUAGUUGCACGAGUUCAGACUCGUAGCAGAUAGCUCAGUAACACGUGGCCAAACUACCCUCUGGAGCACGAUAACCUCGGGAAACUGAGGCUAAUAGUGCAUACGGCUCGCCGCCUGGAGUGGCGCGAGCCGGAAAGGCUCCGGCGCCAGAGGAUGUGGCUGCGGCCGAUUAGGUAGACGGUGGGGUAACGGCCCACCGUGCCAAUAAUCGGUACGGGUUGUGAGAGCAAGAGCCCGGAGACGGUAUCUGAGACAAGAUACCGGGCCCUACGGGGCGCAGCAGGCGCGAAACCUUUACACUGCACGCCAGUGCGAUAAGGGGACUCCAAGUGCGAGGGCAUAACGUCCUCGCUUUUCUCGACCGUAAGGUGGUCGAGGAAUAAGGGCUGGGCAAGACCGGUGCCAGCCGCCGCGGUAAUACCGGCAGCCCGAGUGAUGGCCGCUCUUAUUGGGCCUAAAGCGUCCGUAGCUGGCCGCGCAAGUCCAUCGGGAAAUCUGCCCGCUUAACGGGCAGGCGUCCGGUGGAAACUGUGCGGCUUGGGACCGGAAGACCAGAGGGGUACGUCCGGGGUAGGAGUGAAAUCCCGUAAUCCUGGACGGACCACCGGUGGCGAAAGCGCCUCUGGAAGACGGAUCCGACGGUGAGGGACGAAAGCUCGGGUCACGAACCGGAUUAGAUACCCGGGUAGUCCGAGCUGUAAACGAUGUCUGCUAGGUGUGGCACAGGCUACGAGCCUGUGCUGUGCCGUAGGGAAGCCGUGAAGCAGACCGCCUGGGAAGUACGUCCGCAAGGAUGAAACUUAAAGGAAUUGGCGGCGGAGCACAAGGGCGAAUGGGCGUCCGCUACAU